GAAAAUUACGAGCGAAAGCCUAAAACUCAAAAGACUUGACGGUGCCCCAACCCUACCUAGAGGAGCCUGUUCCAUAAUCGAUAACCCACGAUCAACCCAACCACCUCUUGAAAUCACAGCCUAUAUACCGCCGUCGUCAGCCCCACCUUCUUAAAGAAACAAAGCAGGCUAAAUAGAACCCCACUAAAAAGUCAGGUCAAGGUGUAGCUAAUGGGGUGGAGAUAAUGGGCUACAUUUUCUAAUAUAGAACAUACGAACUAGUAUUUGAAAACAACUACAAAGGUGGAUUUAGCAGUAAGAUAAACAAGAAUAUUUAACUUAACACAGCCCUGGAGCACGUACACACCG
This 348-nucleotide ribosomal RNA is filed under the name Colobodactylus dalcyanus. RNAcentral's name for it is "partial 12S ribosomal RNA". It matches the Rfam family "Bacterial small subunit ribosomal RNA", at positions 875 to 1392 of the family's 1533-position model. The record is from RNAcentral. Lineage: Eukaryota; Metazoa; Chordata; Lepidosauria; Squamata; Gymnophthalmidae.